This 253-nucleotide ribosomal RNA is filed under the name uncultured bacterium. RNAcentral's name for it is "partial 16S ribosomal RNA". It matches the Rfam family "Bacterial small subunit ribosomal RNA", at positions 524 to 776 of the family's 1533-position model. The record is from RNAcentral.
GACAGAGGGUGCGAACGUUGCUCGGAAUCACUGGGCGUAAAGCGCGUGUAGGCGGGCGAUCAAGUCAGGUGUGAAAUCCCUGGGCUCAACCCAGGAACUGCAUCUGAAACUGGUUGCCUUGAGUGUUGGAGAGGGAAGCGGAAUUCCUGGUGUAGAGGUGAAAUUCGUAGAUAUUCGGAAGAACACCAGUGGCGAAGGCGACUCACUGGCCCGUUACUGACGCUGAGGCGCGAAAGCGUGGGGAGCAAACAGG